RNAcentral lists this microRNA precursor (59 nucleotides) under Branchiostoma lanceolatum (amphioxus). Its description in RNAcentral is "Bla-Mir-4862_pre stem-loop". The record is from RNAcentral. Lineage: Eukaryota; Metazoa; Chordata; Leptocardii; Amphioxiformes; Branchiostomatidae.
ACGCGUUUAUGUCUGCGCCUGUUGUAAAGUUGGAUACAGGUACAGAUGUGAACACGAGA